This 292-nucleotide ribosomal RNA is filed under the name uncultured bacterium. Its description in RNAcentral is "partial 16S ribosomal RNA". It matches the Rfam family "Bacterial small subunit ribosomal RNA", at positions 505 to 796 of the family's 1533-position model. The record is from RNAcentral.
GUGCCAGCAGCCGCGGUAAUACGGAGGGUGCAAGCGUUGUCCGGAUUUAUUGGGUUUAAAGGGUGCGUAGGCGGCUCCAUAAGUCAGCGUUGAAAUACGGCAGCUUAACUGUCGGACUGGCAUUGAUACUGUGGAGCUUGAGUAAAGUUGAGGUAGGCGGAAUUGAUGGUGUAGCGGUGAAAUGCUUAGAUAUCAUCAAGAACAUCGAUUGCGAAGGCAGCUUACUAAGUUUUAACUGACGCUGAGGCACGAAAGCGUGGGGAUCGAACAGGAUUAGAUACCCGCGUAGUCC